AAAGAUGGCUAAUUUUGAGUGGUUCAUGAAUAACUGCGUUCACAGCACUCACCAUUUCCUUUGGAGACGUAUAUCCAUCAGUGUUCAUGUAGAAUAGGUGAAGUAUUCUGCACGCCUUCCAAAAUAAGUCCUUGCAGCUUCGAGGAAUUACAGAUCCUUCCUUCAGCACUAGCCUUAGCAAUUCUCUCCGCGAAGUUUCGACAGAUCUCUUAAUCUCCAUUUUAGCCUCUUCUAUGGAGGCGGAAGAGCCGGCCUGAAGAACGAGGAGAGAGACGCUGUUCAACUUUCCUUGUUUACCUUCUCUCUGCACCAGUUUGCAGUAAUAAGCGUCCAAAUGAUAAUGAUUAAAAACCACAAGGAGCUUGAAGAGAAAGUGGGGGAACAAAAUUAAGGCUCUAAUAGGACGGGAAUUCGCUUCCUCCAAUCUAUUUGUGUUACUAAAUUUUGCACUUCCUCCAAUCUAUUUGUGCUUACUAAAUUUCGCACUUCCUCCAAUCUAUUUGUGCUUACUAAAUUUUGCACUUACUGCUUGUAUUACCUCGUAACUUUGCAUGUCGUUUAGAAGACGGCCGCAUAUGCUCACAAGUCUGAACAAUUCAUGGUAUUCUGGAUCUGCAACGGCCUCUUCCGAAAGCUUUGGACCAACAAAGUAGAGAGCCGGGAGAAGGACGGGGCCCAGAGCAAAGGAAACAAAUCCAUUUUCCAUAUACUGCUCUAUUGUGGGUGCCGUUUUGUUCCUCAUCCACUCUGCCUCUUCCAUCAUGGUCCUUAUCGCGCUAAGCCACUGUCGUUUGCAUUGCUAUGCGUCAAAGUCUUUUCAAGAUAAAUGGUUCCCGGUUUAAAUUGAGACACAGGUUAUUCCUACAAUACAUAUAUACCCUGUAAAAUAUGAAUUCUCAUACAAUCUGAAUUGUGAAAAAGUCGGUUUUGUAUUUGCAAAAAGAUUUUCUGAAGAGAAGCAUCAUAGCAAGGGUUGUAACAUGCUUUUGGAAUGGUGCAUGUGAAAACUCGCAUAUUGCAGGGAUUUACAGGCGAUUUUGCAGGGGAAUAUAUGUAAAUGUCUGAAUUCGGUAAGUUGUAAGAUCUCACUAUUUCAACUAGGUGGCCGGUGACGCUGCGAUUUUGUACUACUGACGCCUUAGCUCCAAGCUCAUUGAUUGUGCUGUAAACAGCAGAAAACAAAAUCUCCACGUGCUCAGAGCAGAACUCCUUUUCGUGAUUUCCAUCCCAUCUGUCACAAGUACAAAGGUGCACUUUAAGUAAAUAAUGUGUAAAAUAAUCUCAGAAGAACAGCGGAUCAUUAGUAUAAGCAAGAAAAAUCGUACUUCUCAACUAAACUGAUGAGGUUUUCUAAUUCUUCUCUUGAUCCACCUACGUCGAAGAAGUCGUCAACCACAGUGGUGAGCAGACUAUUUUUGGUCCAUGACAUGCGAGCAUCGGUUAAUUCAGGAGGAUAUAAAGUAGCGGCAGCAGAGAGGUAACAGUAUGUUAGCUUAUCCCGAGCAAAUCCUAGCUGAUCCAACCUGUUUUCUCUGACCCAGCUGUUAAAAUCACAAAUUUAGAUUAGGAAAGCACAAUGCUGGCGUUAAAUGUAAUAAAAAUAAGGAACUUGCUUUUGCAUGCGCACUUAACAAAAGCAUAUUUGUGAAGGAAAGUGAGUGGAAGGGCAUAUAGGCACAUAUUGGAUAUUCAAAGGACAUUGGCAACAAUUUCAACUUAAGAAGGGUCUGCGAGCAAACGUGUUUAUUUCGAGAGAUAUUUAUGCAACAAAAUAACCCUAAAAAGAGAAUCCAUAAGAUGGACAGACCUCUGAAGAUGUUGAAGUUCUUUCUGAUAUAUAGACUGACAACUACUGAAAUCUUCAAUUGCCAAUUUAAGAAGAUCAUCAGAAGUGCAGAAAGACCUGAUACAGUUCAAAAGCAAAAAUUACUGGCAGAAAUCCAAAAAUCAGAAAAAAAAAGGUUUUAUCCUAUUUAUGAUUAAAUUCUUACUUAUAUGAUGUUUUGAGAAUCUGAUAAUUGGCAACAUCAAAGUUCUCGAUGUUUCUCUUGUGUUCUAAGCGUUCCAAAUUGGCGUAAAAGGGAAAUUUAAGAACAUAAUCUGCCUGAAAAUAUAAAAUAGAAUUAGUUUCAACUCUCAAUCAGACAACUAAAAUUUUUUUUUCCCCAAAAAACAUAUUAAGACUAUCAAAUACCUACCUCUUGGGAGAUAACUCGGGAAGAAUGUUUUGAAUUAGAAGAUACUUCCUCUUUUAGGAAACUACUGGACCAGGAACCCAGUUUAUCUAAGACUUGUUCACAGUCCAGGAUUUUAAUCUGUGAUGCCUUGUGAAAUUCUAGAACAGUUUUCAUAUCUUUCAGAUAUCCUUGCACGGAAUUAUGGAAAUUAUGCCCAUCUGCACAAUCGUCAGCAAUAGAUUAAAAACCCAUGGGCAUAAAAUACAUAUGUUGAUAACCAAGAUUCAGAAAGCUAGUUCCUUCGGGGCCCGAAUUACCUGAAGAAACAUCAUAUCCGUUCAUACGCAAAAGACGAAAUGCCAUAGCACACGCCGUCAUAUCUGAACUAAGUUCCUCAUCGUUCUCCAACCAGCAUCUGCAUAUUUAGAUGACGGCAGCUUGUAAAAUCUAGAGAUAUUGCACACAUCUCAACUUAAGGGUAUUUUUGUAAGGAACUCCACUCUAAAUGGGGUGUAUAAAAAUUAAGAUUAUAACAAGGGGUACGUAUGUGUAAACAGAUCAUUUUGCAGAAAUACCUCUAUAUAUAUUUCUAAAACUGCAAUUCAUAUUUAGAAGCUAUUUCUAGCGUAAUACCUGUAUAUUCUGUCCAAGAUGGUCUUUAUCUCAUAAGCAAACAGCCGAGAAAUUCCCAACUUUUCAAGAGUGUCGACCAUGCAAAGCUGCGUAUGCAUCUCAAACGGAUAAACGGUAGGAACUGCAGAAAGGAAAAUGAUAUUAGAAAUACCGUAGCAUUUCCACAUAUGCGACAGACAAAAUUUAUCGAUUAGAGAGUAGAAUCGAAUCCACCUGAGCUGCCAAACCGCCGUAAAAUAGCAUGCAGGUAGUCAAGAGCUUUAACAUCAUAACGAUGGGUCAAUGCGACAGCUGUUGUUGCAGGUGAAUUGAACAACGAUCCGUUCUUCCUCUGAUACUUCAUAACCUCAUUCCAGUCCUGCAAAUUCCCUAAUCCUUCGGAUACAUACGCCAUGUACGCUUUUCGUCCCUCGGAAUUGUUUGCAGAAUCCCUAAAAAAUCAAUAAUACCGAUCACAACAUAAAUGCCAUUUACAAAAAAAUGUGCAUCCUGAGUGAAAUUAAUGAUAUAAGAUUCUGUUAAAUAUAAAAAUGUUUAAAUACCGUUCUCUAAUAGCUUAAGUUCUUAGAGUAUAACGGUUGUUUCACAGAUUCAAACAAAAUUUACAUUGGAAUAACCAGGGAGCCUGACCUUUUCAAUUCUAAAUCUCGAAGGCAAAGAAUAUCCUGAAUAGCAUGCUGUCUUAUGGGAAUAUCUAAACCCAAAUCGAUUGCACGUUCAAGCAUGCCAGGGAAAAUGAUAUUGAAGCCGACAGGAGACUGAUAAUUCUCAUCCAUAAUACAUGACAAAUUAGAUCCAAUAUAAUGUAGCCCUGCAAUAAGUCGAAAAAAAAUGAAGCUUCUUAAUCCAUUGAGCAAAACACAAUGUUAAUGAGUAAAUGUUCUGUUUCCUAAUACCUCUUCUUACGUGCUCUUCACCGACAUUCCAUCGCUUGAGCGCGAGUACACUUGCCAAUGUGGAAGAUAGAGCAUCUUUAAUCAAAGAGGGAUGGAUAUGGUCAAGUCCCCAGGAUCCAUUAGAAUUUUGAUUUUGUAACAUCCAAUCGACGCACUGAGGGAAGCACGGAGUUUGAGGAGAUCCAGGAGAAGGGACCAUGGCAACCCAUGCCGUGUCAUAUGAAGAAACUGAAUAUUCGACCUUACUUAGCUGCUCCCUUAUUCGUUUCUCCGAUUCCCUGGAACACUACAGCCACGUCUAAUAAGAUGCUUAAUUCAACCACAAAUUUAUUGUAUGGAGAUUUCAAAAUAACAUGGGAUCAAUAAAUCUAAUACCGUUACUGAGAGGUUCGCGCUGCUUUCUUCUUUCCCAUCAUCCCAAUUUGCUGUAUAUGAAAACGAAGCAUUCGGCAAUCAGCAAAAGAGAAAUAAAUGUAACACCAGAGCAAGUGAAAUAUGCAAAUGUCUUUUCGUAAUUAUUCCAACCAACCUAAUUAGAAGUUGUCAUGAUAUAACUAGAUCUAACACAUGCUGCAAUUUGAAGAUAAUCUCAUAUUUGGCAUUUAACAUAUUCUCCUUAAAAAAAAAAUACACAACUUUAAGGUAUCGUUUGGUUCGGGGAUAAGCAAAAAAUGGCUAUUCCAGGGAUAGGUAUAAAUUGAGGUAUAAGCGGGGAUUAGAUCAAUUUUGCGUUUGGAUGAAAAUUGGGUAAUUGCUGUGAAUAAAAGAAAUAGCGUUUGGUUAGGUAAAAUAGAAUAAGAAGGAUAGUGGGUUUUAUAAAUAAAAAGUAAUGAUAUUAUCCUCUUAUUAUAUUUGAAUUUGAAUUUUUAAAAUUUUAAAUUUAUAUUUUUAAAUUUAAAAUUUUAAAUUUUAAAAUUUGAGAAAUUUGAAAUUUAAAAUAACAAUUUUAAAUUUUAAAUUUCAAACUUUAAAUUUAAGAUCAAAUUUAAAUUUGAAAAAUAUAAAAAUAAAUUUUAAAUUUCAAAAAUAAAAUAUCAAAAUUUCAAUAUUAAAAUUUAAAAUUUAAAUUUAAAAUUAUAAACUUUAAUUUGAGAUUAUAAAUUAUAAAUUUUAAAAUUUAAUUUUUUUUUUUAAAAUUUUAAAUAAGAAUAAGGGUGGGAACUUAAUUAAUAAAUAAUUUACUAUAAUAAAUUUAUAAAUUUUUUAAAAUUCUAAUCAAACUUAAUUUAUAAAGGAAUUAUUAUAAUUUUAUUAUAAUAUUUAAAUAUAAAUAAUAUGUAUUAAUAUAGUACAAUUAAUAAUUUUAUAAUAAAAAUAAUGUAUUAUAUAUAUAACAUAGUGAUAAUUGCCUAUAUACCCUUCAUGCGUUCGGAAAUAUCGAUCUACCCCUACUCUUUUUUUUCUUUCUAAAAUUGUCCUCAUACGUUCCACCGUUAUUCCAAAAUACCCCCGCAGUUUAUCCCCUGUUAGCUUAACUCGGGUUAAACAUGGGUUAAUACUAUAUAGAGUUAAAACCUGACAAAAUACUAUAUUUGCCCCUACUUUAUUAUAGUAAUCCCUAAAGAUGUAUCCUCUUUCUUCCCAAUUUUGUCGCCACCACGGCCGCGCUCCUCCGCCUCUACUCACCUCCUCGCCUCAUCUCCUCCCAAACCACCACACUCCCACACCUCCACUCCAACACACCCAUCUCGUCGUCUCGUUGUCCUCCUCCGCCGCCGCUCUCGUCGUCGCCGUCGUCCUCUUCCUCCGCCGCCUUGGCCGGCGCCGGGAGCAAGAGGGCCGCAGCGACGAUCCCAUCUCUCGCCGCUCUCGUCGUCCUUCUCCUCAUCCGCUGCCUUGGCCGGCGCCAGGAGCAAGAGGGCCGCAGCUCCAUCGGACCCCUGCACGCCUUCUGCUCCGGAUCCGGCUGAAGGGUAAAUAAGAAAAGUAUUUGCUAUAUGAAGGGUAUAUAAGAAAAGUUUGUUACGGUACAAGGGUAUAUUGGAAUGGGCAAAAUGGUAAUUUUUCAGAGCUAACGGCAGCUCACUAACGGAACUUAACUCUAGGGGUAUUUUAGAAAAACUUGGAACAUAAGAAGGGUAUUUUCAAUAUUAGCCUUCUAAGAGGGGUAAAUAAGAAAACGGAGAACUUUUCAGGGGUAUAUAGGCAAUUGCCCCUAUAACAUAUUAUAUUUAUAUAAUUUAGUUUGCUUAAUUUAUAAUUUUAAUUAAGUUUGAAAUUAAGCAUUGGAAUAGCACUAUUCCACCAAAAUGGUGGAAUAGCAUAUUCCUUGCUAUUCCGGAAUAACUGGGAAUAGCAAGAUUUGACCGGAAUAAAAUAUUCCGGCCAUAUUUCAUCCCGUUUGGUGGAAUAGCGGGGAUGUUAUCCCCGCUUAUCCUCCGAACCAAACGGGGCCUAAUUGUCUUAUUGAGACAAAUGUAAAUAAUAUAAUUUAAUGCCACAUUUACUUGUAUAAUAGCAACGGUUGAAUAUCAAUAUUAAAAGCACCAUAUUCUCUUACAGAAGUAUUUCAUAAUCACAACGAUGGAAAAGCAGUGUUAGUAUAUUUCAAAAAAACUAUACAUGAGAUGCAGAACAGAACGCAUCACAUAUCCUUUCAUACACAAAAAAAUUUAACUUAAAAAAUGGUUCUACCUGACGAAACUCGCGGAAGAGAUGCUCUAACUGUUUUUUUAGCUCUAACUCUAGAAAUUUGAAUAUCUGAAGAUCGGAUGCAGCACAGGGGAAAUGAGAGAGCAUUUAACGACAUGGCCACUCAGGUUUAUGUGAAAUUAAUGGUGAUCUGCGACGAGAUAGCAGCAAACUAAGAGGCAUCAAAAAAUGAUUAAGAAUUUUCGAGAAAAAUACUGCAGGAAAAAAGAAAGCAUAGCUAGAAGAAAGAAUCCAACCAAUUAAGUAAACGAAAAUUAAAGUAACUCAAUUAAGGAUAGACUAAUCAAAGUAAAUCAAACUAAUUAAUGCGUCGAUAAUAAAAGGUGACAAAAAUGUACAUGAACCCUCUCGUUGUCCAUUUUACUUGUCGUUAGCAUUCCUUCGGUUUUUACUUCUUAAUUUCCAUUGAAGUUUUUUCUGUAAACCGGUUGAUUCAAGUUUUGUAUAAUGUUUUAGAAAUAUUGUAUAUUUUAUUACUUUGUAUUUAAAAUGACAAAUUCGUAACUAACGUAUCAAGUCACUUGGUUACGUGUCAACGACCCGUAGAUAAUAGAGCUAUUAAUUUUUACAGAACCCCAAUAUAAAUAGAUAGAAUGAUUCAAAUAAAAAAAAAAAAUUAAAAGUUGAGAGGUUUCGAUAAUUAGAAAAGAAAAAGUAAAACUAAAAUUUGCAUGUUCUAAAAGCUCUAUACAUGCGUCCAUGGCCAAGGAGAGAGAGAGAGAGAGAGAGAGAGAGAGAGAGAGAGAGGUUGCGGCGCUACCUGUUUAAUUUGUGUUCACUACCAAAGAGUAAACGGAGUGGCGAAGAAGAGAGCCUGAGGGGUAAAUAAAACAAGGUGGGGUGUGUAUAUAUACAGUGUACUAUCAGUAGCACGGAGCGCUCCGUUAUGUUCGCUUAAAUGGGCCAGCAUCCUGCCUUGUGGCAGGAGGUCAUGUGGGCCCGAGUCAUGUUCGAAAUGGCAUGAGGCUAGGUGGGCCGAGUCAUGUUCGAAGUGGCGUGAGGCUAGGUGGGCCGAGUCACAAUCGAGACCCGUGGGCGCUGUUUCUGUACGCUUUAAGUGAAUUGGUUGCGUAUUUCUAACAGCUCGAGCUUUUGGGAUUAAUGGUUAGCGUCAACAAUCCGACAAGUUGUAUCAGAGCCAGAGCUCACAGAUUUAAUUCCUGCAUGCUGCAAAUGUGCGCAGGUGCUGGAGGGGGGAUUGUUGGCUUAAAUGGGCCAGCAUCCUACCCUGUGGCAGGAGGCCAUAUGGGCCGAGUCAUGUUCGAAAUCGCGUGAGGCUGGGUUGGGCCGAGUCAUGUUCGAAGUGGCGUGAGGCCAGGUGGGCCGAGUCACAAUCGAGACCCGUGGGCGCUGUUUCUGUACGCUUUAAGUGAAUUGGUUGCGUAUUUCUAACAGCUCGAGUUUUUGGGAUUAAUGGUUAGCGUCAACAAUCCGACAAGUUGUAUCAGAGCCAGAGCUCACAGAUUUAAUUCCUGCAUGCUGCAAAUGUGCGCAGGUGCUGGAGGGGGGAUUGUUGGCUUAAAUGGGCCAGCAUCCUACCCUGUGGCAGGAGGCCAUAUGGGCCGAGUCAUGUUCGAAAUGGCGUGAGGCUGGGUUGGGCCGAGCCAUGCUCAAAGUGGCGUAAGGCCAGGUGGGCUGAGUCACAAUCGAGAUCCGUGGGCACUGUUUCUGUACGCUUUAAGUGAAUUGGUUGCGUAUUUCUAACAGCUCGAGUUUUUGGGAUUAAUGGUUAGCGUCAACAAUCCGACAAGUUGUAUCAGAGCCAGAGCUCACAGAUUUAAUUCCUGCAUGCUGCAAAUGUGCGCAGGUGCUGGAGGGGGGAUUGUUGGCUUAAAUGGGCCAGCAUCCUACCCUGUGGCGGGAGGCCAUAUGGGCCGAGUCAUGUUCGAAAUCGCGUGAGGCUGGAUUGGGCCGAGUCAUGUUCGAAGUGGCGUGAGGCCAGGUGGGCCGAGUUACAAUCGAGACCCGUGGGCACUGUUUCUGUACGCUUUAAGUGAAUUGGUUGCGUAUUUCUAACAACUCGAGCUUUUGGGAUUAAUGGUUCGCGCCAACGAUCCGACACGUUAUACUUGAUCUAUACUAUUAAAAGUAUUUAGAAACUAAAUAAUUUUUCGAUACCAUUUGAAAUACCUAUCAAACAAGUAGUCUAAAAUUGAACGGCUGAAAAUAAAAAUCUCAUAAAAAAUGAUGAUAAAAGAUUUAAAUUCAAGAUCAGAUAUACUGAUCUUACUCUAAAUAGUGAAAAGAAUUUUUCAUAAAAUUUUCAUCAGAUUUGAAUUGUUUUACACCGUUAAACUCUCAAACACACCACAUCGGCCAUUAAAAUUGUCAAUUUUGUGAUCUUUUGAUCACUAGUCAAAUGAUGUCGAAAAAAAUCUGAAAUUUAGUUUUCAAAUACUUUCAAUAGUGUAGAUCAGGUUUAACGUAAUCGAUCGUCGAUUUGAAAGUCGCAUCAUCAAAAACAACUUGGUAGUACGGAGCGCUCCGUGCUACCGACAGUGUAGUAGCCGGACUUAUAUAUAUAUAUUAUUAUUAUUAUUAUUAUUAUGUAUAUAAUGAUGGGAUUGGAUUUGACUUCGACUUUGCCUUUAGAAAGAGAUUUAGUGAGUAUCCAAGUAGAAUUGGAUUUAGUCUAAAAAAUAAAAAAAUUCGAUGAAAAAAAUAAGAAUUUUUUUAAAAAAACGGUGCGAUGAAAAAGAAAAGUUUUUUUGUUUUACCCGCUACUAUUUAUGUAAUUUAUUAUCUUUUUUUUAUUUUUAUUAUUUUGUUUUGUGCAUUCUCUUGUCUACCUUCCACUAUUGUGAGUCCACACCACGUGCACUCACAUAUUUUUAGGGUUAAUUACAUAUAGUUUUUAAUAAAUUAUCGAAUAUAUUACUACAAAAUUUAAUUUUUUAUAUUUAUUCUUGUAAAAAUUCGGUGAUAUUUAUAUUCCCAUCUGGUUUGUUACCGUUAGAGAUUGUUUAUUUUUUAAUAGCAGAUAGGUGAAAUAAUAUUUUUGCUCUUACAAAUAUAUUUUUUCAAAAGCCCAAGUAUUAAAAUUAUGCAGAAAUAUCCUUUCAAAAAAAUAUUUUACUUAAUAAUAUAAGAUGAGUAAAAAAAUCAAUUUAACUCAUUCACUAAUCAGAGUUAAGUAUUUCACUUAUGGUUAAUUAUAUUUUUCCCACGGAUUCUAGCAGUAGAGAUAUAUUUAAAAAUAGUAGUACUUUUGCAGAAAUAAAAAUAAAAUGUUAAACUUUGUAGAAAUAUAUUGCUAUUCAAUAUGUUCACAUAAAAUUAUAUGGAAUUAACCUUGUUUUUUAUUAGCCCUACUUUGACAUCAGCUCGCCCCAAAGUCCCUAGAAGUUAAAAGUCUAUUUGUUUGGGUAAAAAUGGAGAGGGGUGAAAUCGUUUUCCACUAUAAGCAAUCACUUUCGCUGUUUGUUUCGUCGUAAUAAAGAUACGAUCGAAACUCAAGUUGUCCGUAACAGACCGAAGUCAAUUACGGUGAGAAAAGAUGAACAGAAAAAUAAUAAAAUAAUACAAUGAAUAAUGCUAGUUAUAUUUAAAUAUAUUUAAUUAUGAGACUAAUUAUUUUUUUAUUUAGUUUGUAUAUUUAAAAUAUGAUAAAAUUUGAUUAGUUAAGUUUUAAUAUUUUCUUCAUUUAGUUUGUAAUUUAAAAUAUGAUGAGAAUUUAUUAGAUAAGUAUUUAUAUACUAUUUUACUUUAUUCUAUUGUUAUAUUAUUAUUAUAAUUUAUGUAUAAAAAGUAAUUUAGUUGUUUUAAAUUAAAUUUUUUAAUUAUAUAGAAAUAUAAUUAUAUUGUUUUAUUUAUUAUAUUAUAAUUUAUUAUUUAUUAAGUUAUUUAUUAUUUAUACAUAAAUUAUAAUUUUAGAUCACUCACUUUUUGUCAAACAUACAGCAGAACUAAAAAAAACUUACUUUCAUAACUAUGAAACAGCAGGAGAUAAGUAGUUUUUACCGAACUCCACUUCAAUCCAAAAUCUACUUCAGCCCAAAUUCUAAUUUCAGUGAAACAAACAUACCCUAGUGUAUUUAAGGUUGCAAUUGGUGGAACCCAAAGUGGACAAUGGAAAGUUGGGAUUUAUGAAUUAUUAUAGGGCUUUUUUUGCUUUUAACCAUCUCAGAAAAAAAAAAAUUUCCACAAAUAACCUCAUAAAAAUUAUAUUUACAAGAUUAACCUUAUCCUCGCCACACGAGCGCGACGUGUGUUAGGUUGGUUAAGUUGAACACAGUAAAUCAUUCAUCGUGUUUGGACACGACGAAUGAUUCAUCGUAUCUUUUUCACAUUUUACUUAUACCGUGUUCUUUUCACAUUCACCAUUUUUAUUGUAUUAUAAAUUAAAUUGAACACAGUAAAUCAUUCAUCGUGUUUGGAUAUAGUGAAUGGUCCGUCGUGUUCAACUUAAAUUCUGGAUUGUUAGUCACGCUCAUGUGUUGCUUGCGUGGUAGGGAUAAGGCCAAUUGUGCAAAUAUAAAUUUUAUGAUGCUAUUUACGAAAUUUUUUUGAGAGGCUAAAAGCAAAAAAAAAAAGGCCCAUUAUUAUAUUAUUUAUUUGAUGACUUUUUAACCCUUAUUAAAUGUAGUGGUGCUAGAUCUAUGCUGUGUACAAGUAGCGUUUUUCUUUCCCAAGUCCCUAGCUCCGAGAUCUAAACAUAAUCUUUUUCAUUUUAACUGGAGACUUUUGGACAUGAAAAAUACUAGGUAUUACUUACAAUAUUAUUUAAGUAAAAUCAUACACAACAUACUUGAACAUCGGACAAUUUUAAUUUAGCUAUCUAAUUUUUUAAAAUUUUAAUUUUAUUAUUCAAUCUUUCGAUUUGUUUGAUUUGGGCUAGGCAACAACACUUUAAUUUUAGAAUAUGAUUGUGUUAUUUAUCUUUACAAUUUUAGUUAGUAUCCUUCAAACAAUUCUCGCAACUAUAAAUUCGAUAAAUUAAGUUAUUAGCUUAAAUUUUGAAGUAAAAAAUAUCAUUGGCCAGUUCAAAUCAAACAAAUUAAAAUGUUGGAUAGUAAAAUCAAAAUUUCGAAAUGUUGAACAACCGAUUCAAAAUAGUUUAUAAUUCAGAUAUAUUCUAUACGUUUUUACCUAUUAUUUAUUGUAAAUUUCUUGUAAUAUUUUUAAACUGCUUGUCGCCAUGCUUGAGCAAAUCAAAAUUUCAUACACCCAACGGAAUCCCAGCCUUGAUUUGUAGCUGGUAGGAAAGCAGCCAAAUCCGUCCCUCAAUUGCAUCUCCCAGUACUUACUUUUUGAAAGAAAAAUAGCAUGCUAUCUAUAACGUCCCAACUUUUCAAGGAGCUAUUCAUUCUAGAACUAUUCUAGUCCUAACACGCUUAAUUUUUUUAAUCUCUUAGGCUUAUCCACCGUACAAAAUGUUAUAGUCGGGUCAAGAGUUUUAGUUUUAUUAUAUCUUAUAUAUAGAACUAUCUGAGAUUUUAUACUAUUUGUUUCGUGUUUUUUAAGAAACAAAUUUAGUUGAAAAUAUGAAUUAGCUAGGCUUCGAACUUUGAAUCUCGGAUACCCCAUCAUCAAGCCCUUUGCCUUUUGUACUAGGCACGGUCGGCCAUCUUACAGUGCUUGACCUGACAGUUGUAAAGAAGAACUCCUAUAAAUAUGUAAACCAAAGUGUAGCUUCCCCAGUACAUUAGAAAAAUGUAAGAGAAAUAAUAUUUGUACAUCCCAAAAAACAGUACAGACAUAAACAUUUCUCAUUCUUAAAUUCAUAAAACCUUUUGAAUUUUUGAUAUUAAAAAAAAAAGUCAAAAUAUAAUGUGAAACAGCUACAGUAUAAAUCAGUUACUGUCGAAAGGUUGCAUUGAGUACCCAAAAGUCUAAAAUCAUCUUCUACGGUGUCUGUUGAAGGUCCUUAAUUUCUUUGGAAUCCUUGUCUUCAUUUCUAUUAAUGUUUAUUUUGAAAAUAUGAUUGAAACCUUUUUUUUCUAAGAAAUUUUUUCAUGGUACAAAAUUUGCCACAUAGCUAGAUUAUCUAAUUCAAAGGUUUAAAUUUUACAUGCAUCCCAAUCAGGCGUGUCCUCCGCGCUAUUUCUUUUUCGUAGAAGUAUUGUUACUGCUAUCAAUCCAAGUCAAACUGCUGGUACCGGUCAAUGCAUCCUACUAUUUGUAAGUACAUAAUUUUUUUUUUUUUUUGAGAAUCGGUAGCACGCUACCUACUUCAUUCAUUGAAUAAGUGAAUUAGGCUACAGAGGUGGGGCAACCAGGGCCCCAAAUAGAGAAAAAAAAAAAAAUCAUAGAUUGUCUUUCCAAGAAUCAAUCAAGUACUUGAGCCUACGCGCCGCUAAUAUGGGGUCAAACUGAAUGUCAUGAAAGAUAAAGUUGUUCCUCGCCUUCCAAAUGGUCCACCAGCAUGCGGCCAAUUCAGAUAGACCGUCCCUUCUACUUUGUAAGUACAUAAAUUAUAGAUAAUUUUUCAUGGUGCAACCUUGUAGAGGUGAGCAAAUCAACCAUAAAUGGUGUGUUCAUAACAUCAGAGUGGGUAGCAUGCUAUCUUUUUCUCACAAAAAAAAAAAAAAAAAAAAAAAAAAGGAAAAAAAAAAAAAAAAAACAUCAGAGUGGUGCUUUUGUUUGAAACUAGAGUUCCGCUCAAAUGAAAGAUCUCCAACAAAAAGAAAUUUUGAAACUAUAUUUUAACAGUUCAUUGUUUUCUUAAACAUACCUAAAUCGAUCGUGAUCUGAAUGGUGAAAGAGCACGCAAAGUUUUUCAUAAUUUGCGUGCAACAACCGCUGGUUAAUUUACGAGAUUGGCUAAAUAAGGUGAGAAUGAAAUUGUUUUAUUAGAGUCGCUUAAUUUAAUACUGCUUUUUAAUUUCUCCUAGCAUAAUUUUUUUGGGGAUGGAUUACGCCCAAGACAUAGAAUAAUUAUUCAAUGAGAGGAAAUUAAAUAAAGGUAGGAGCUCUACCAAGACCCAAGCUUAAAAUUUCAUGCUCUGAUAUAAAAGUGAGGCUGGUAUGCUUAUGGAGGCACACGGAGCCUUCCGUGCUUUCAAGUCGUUUUCGAUGUUAGGACUUUCGAAUCAACAAUCGGCUCUAUUAGACUUAAUCUAUAGUAUUUGAAAUAUUUAGAAAAAUAAAUUUCACAAUUUCUUGAUAUUAUUUACCUAGUAAUCGAAAGAGUUCAAAAUCAAUGGCUGAAAAUAAAAAUAUUACAAAAUAUGAUGAUAUGACAUUAACAUUUUAGAUUAAAGAUAAUGAUAUUAUUUUAUAUAGUAUGAAGAAUUUUUUAUCAAAAUUUUGCGUGAUUUGAAUAUUUUUACACAGUUAAACUUGCAAACGGCUCACCGCGAUUAUUAAAAUUAUUGAUUUUUGACCCCUUCGAUCACUAUGCAAAUGAUAUUGAAAAAUUAUGAAUUUAUUUUCUAGCUACUUCAAAUACUUUAGAUGAGGCCUAACGGAGCUGAUCGUCAAUUUGAAUGUCCCAACAUCGAAAAUGACUUGGAAACACGAAGCUCCGUGCUUCCGGACGUAUACCGGCCUCACUCCAGAUAUAAUAUCAAAAAUAUAUAAAAUAAUUAUUUUUUCUAAAAAUUUAAUAUAUUAAAAAGUGAUAUCUUCUGUUUUUUUUUUAUAUUCAAAAGAUAUUAGGAAAACAGUCGUAGAGGGACAAAGGUGCAUGUUAUUUAAUUAAGCAGUCAACCUACUUAAUUAUGCUUCGAUUUUCUAAGGGGUGUAUUUUUUAUUUUUUUAUUUUUUUUGAGAGAUAGAUAGCACGCUAUCCGCUUAUUUUAUUUUAGAAAGAAAUUUAACUGAAAAUAUGAAUCAACUAGGAUUCGAACUUGGGUCUCGGGUACCAACCACCAAGCCCUUUACCACUUGUUCUAUGAACGGUCGGUCUAAGGGGUGUAUAUUAAUUGUUUGGUGCAUUACUAUAUGCAUUUUAAUAUUUUCCAAACCUAACUUUUCUUAUCCACCUGCCAAAUUGGAGCUUGAUUACAUGCUAGAUAUUAUGAAUGUAUCAUCAAGCAUCAAAUUAUGAGCUUUACUUUAAAAAAGCUCCACAUCUCAUUACUGGGUUGCAGAGGAUAUAUAUAUAUAUAGUCCAGUUGGAAUAAUGACACUAUAUUACUGGAGCCCGAUAAUAUAGAUAGUAUAGAAGUCAUAAUAAUAUAUACUCUAUUUUAUAAAUAUAAGUAAGAACAUAUCAAUCGUACCUGCAGCAAAGUGCGGAUGAAUUGCUAGUUCGAUUCUAAACAACAAAAUAUACAUUCAUUCAGUUCCUGUUAGGAACAACAAAUAUACAUGGAUUCAGGUUCAAGUUAGGAAUUUGUAUUUGUAUUUUCGCCGGGAAUAGCUGACAAAAGAUGGCUGAUUUUGAGUGGUUCAUGAAUAACUGCGUUUACAGCACUCACCAUUUCCUUUGCAGAUGUAAAUCCAUCAGUGUUCAUGUAGAAUAGGUGAAGUAUUCUGCACAUCUUCCAAAAUAAGUCCUUGCAACUUCGAGGAAUUACAGAUCCCUCCUUCAGCACCAGCCUUAGCAAUUCUCUCCGAGAAGUUUCGACAGAUCUCUUGAGCUCCCUU
This 14890-nucleotide long non-coding RNA is filed under the name Ananas comosus (pineapple). Its description in RNAcentral is "long non-coding RNA (ACOM_LNC021710)". Lineage: Eukaryota; Viridiplantae; Streptophyta; Magnoliopsida; Poales; Bromeliaceae. The record is from RNAcentral.